This 96-nucleotide transfer RNA is filed under the name Pseudomonas nitroreducens. Its description in RNAcentral is "tRNA-Sec". It matches the Rfam family "Selenocysteine transfer RNA". Lineage: Bacteria; Pseudomonadati; Pseudomonadota; Gammaproteobacteria; Pseudomonadales; Pseudomonadaceae. RNAcentral also lists the same sequence under 1 other name. The record is from RNAcentral.
GGAAGGCAAUCACGCCCGGUGGCGUGGCCGGGCUUCAAACCCGGUUGGGGACGGCAGCCGUUCCUGGGUGAGUUCGACUCUCACUGCCUUCCGCCA